This 910-nucleotide ribosomal RNA is filed under the name uncultured Halobacteria archaeon. Its description in RNAcentral is "bacterial SSU rRNA". It matches the Rfam family "Archaeal small subunit ribosomal RNA", at positions 376 to 1283 of the family's 1478-position model. The record is from RNAcentral. Lineage: Archaea; Methanobacteriati; Methanobacteriota; Halobacteria.
GGACUCCGAGUGUGAGGGCAUAUAGCCCUCGCUUUUCUGUACCGUAAGGUGGUACAGGAACAAGGACUGGGCAAGACCGGUGCCAGCCGCCGCGGUAAUACCGGCAGUCCGAGUGAUGGCCGAUAUUAUUGGGCCUAAAGCGUCCGUAGCUUGCUGUGUAAGUCCAUUGGGAAAUCGACCAGCUCAACUGGUCGGCGUCCGGUGGAAACUACACAGCUUGGGGCCGAGAGACUCAACGGGUACGUCCGGGGUAGGAGUGAAAUCCUGUAAUCCUGGACGGACCACCAAUGGGGAAACCACGUUGAGAGACCGGACCCGACAGUGAGGGACGAAAGCCAGGGUCUCGAACCGGAUUAGAUACCCGGGUAGUCCUGGCCGUAAACAAUGCUCGCUAGGUAUGUCACGCGCCAUGAGCACGUGAUGUGCCGUAGUGAAGACGAUAAGCGAGCCGCCUGGGAAGUACGGCCGCAAGGAUGAAACUUAAAGGAAUUGGCGGGGGAGCACCACAACCGGAGGAGCGUGCGGUUUAAUUGGACUCAACGCCGGACAUCUCACCGGUCCCGACAGUAGUAAUGACAGUCAGGUUGACGACUUUACUCGACGCUACUGAGAGGAGGUGCAUGGCCGCCGUCAGCUCGUACCGUGAGGCGUCCUGUUAAGUCAGGCAACGAGCGAGACCCGCACUUCUAGUUGCCAGCAACACCCUUGUGGUGGUUGGGUACACUAGGAGGACUGCCAUUGCUAAAAUGGAGGAAGGAACGGGCAACGGUAGGUCAGUAUGCCCCGAAUGGACCGGGCAACACGCGGGCUACAAUGGCUCUGACAGUGGGAUGCAACGCCGAGAGGCGACGCUAAUCUCCAAACGGAGUCGUAGUUCGGAUUGCGGGCUGAAACCCGCCCGCAUGAAGCU